AGAGUUUGAUCAUGGCUCAGGAUGAACGCUAGCGGCAGGCCUAAUACAUGCAAGUCGAGGGGCAGCACAGGUAGCAAUACCGGGUGGCGACCGGCAAACGGGUGCGGAACACGUACGCAACCUUCCUUCGAGUGGGGAAUAGCCCAGAGAAAUUUGGAUUAAUACCCCGUAAGAUCGUGGACUGGCAUCAGUCAGCGAUAAAAGCUCCGGCACUUGAAGAUGGGCGUGCGCCUGAUUAGGUAGUUGGUGAGGUAACGGCUCACCAAGCCGACGAUCAGUAACUGGCGUGAGAGCGCGACCAGUCACACGGGCACUGAGACACGGGCCCGACUCCUACGGGAGGCAGCAGUAAGGAAUAUUGGUCAAUGGACGCAAGUCUGAACCAGCCAUGCCGCGUGGAGGAUGAAGGUCCUCUGGAUUGUAAACUUCUUUUAUCUGGGAAGAAAUGUGGAUUUUCUAAUCUAUUUGACGGUACCAGAUGAAUAAGCACCGGCUAACUCCGUGCCAGCCGCCGCGGUAAUAC
RNAcentral lists this ribosomal RNA (523 nucleotides) under uncultured bacterium. Its description in RNAcentral is "bacterial SSU rRNA". It matches the Rfam family "Bacterial small subunit ribosomal RNA", at positions 8 to 526 of the family's 1533-position model. The record is from RNAcentral.